ACAUUAAUAUCAAUCUAAUGACAUUCCAUAGGAAUAAAAAUCCAAUGGGAUCCAGUUCUUAGCAGUCCCAGCCUAGUCAGAAGUACAAAGUCAAAUACCAUUUGCACAUCACCAAGAGGUACAAUCUGAUGAGUAACAGGAUAUCUGAUCUAAAAGCUUGCCAGGUUUCACAAGCAGUUUGAGUAUCACCAGGGCAGAUCAAGAAGAAAUAUGAAGGCCAGGUUCAUAACAAGCAGUUUCUUCAUUGCAAUUACAGAUUUAAAAACUUGAAUGAA
Lytechinus variegatus (green sea urchin) is the source of this 275-nucleotide long non-coding RNA. RefSeq lists it as uncharacterized. The record is from RefSeq and is a predicted model, not a curated record. NCBI's taxonomy places the organism in Eukaryota, Metazoa, Echinodermata, Echinoidea, Temnopleuroida, Toxopneustidae. The transcript has 3 exons.